This 279-nucleotide ribosomal RNA is filed under the name uncultured bacterium. RNAcentral describes it as "partial 16S ribosomal RNA". It matches the Rfam family "Bacterial small subunit ribosomal RNA", at positions 506 to 784 of the family's 1533-position model. The record is from RNAcentral.
UGCCAGUCGCCGCGGUAAUUCGGGGGGAGCAAGCGUUGUCCGGAAUCAUUGGGCGUAAAGGGUGCGUAGGCGGGCUAUUAAGUCUGAUGUGAAAGCCCACGGCUUAACCGUGGAGAGUCAUUGGAUACUGAUAGUCUUGAAUCACAGAGGGGUCAGUGGAAUUCCAGGUGUAGCGGUGAAAUGCGUAGAUAUCUGGGGGAACAUCUGUGGCGAAGGCGACUGGCUGGCUGUUGAUUGACGCUGAGGCACGAAAGCGUGGGUAGCAAACAGGAUUAGAUA